UACAGAGGGUGCAAGCGUUGUUCGGAAUUAUUGGGCGUAAAGCGCGUGUAGGCGGCUUUGUAAGUUGGGUGUGAAAGCCCUCGGCUUAACCGAGGAAGUGCGCCCAAAACUGCAUGGCUUGAGUACCGGAGAGGGUGGCGGAAUUCCCGGUGUAGAGGUGAAAUUCGUAGAUAUCGGGAGGAAGCACCAGCGGCGAAGGCGGCCACCU
RNAcentral lists this ribosomal RNA (208 nucleotides) under uncultured bacterium. Its description in RNAcentral is "partial 16S ribosomal RNA". It matches the Rfam family "Bacterial small subunit ribosomal RNA", at positions 524 to 730 of the family's 1533-position model. The record is from RNAcentral.